UCCAUGAAGUCGGAAUCGCUAGUAAUCGUGGAUCAGAAUGCCACGGUGAAUACGUUCCCGGGCCUUGUACACACCGCCCGUCACACCAUGGGAGCGGGUUGCAAAAGAAGUAGGUAGCUUAACCUUCGGGAGGGCGCUUACCACUUUGUGAUUCAUGACUGGGGUGAAGUCGUAACAAGGUAACCGUAGGGGAACCUGCGGUUGGAUCACCUCCUUACCUUAAAGAAGC
Molecule: ribosomal RNA, 229 nt
Filed under: Escherichia coli
Lineage: Bacteria; Pseudomonadati; Pseudomonadota; Gammaproteobacteria; Enterobacterales; Enterobacteriaceae
Description: partial 16S ribosomal RNA
Rfam family: Bacterial small subunit ribosomal RNA
Source: RNAcentral